UUAAGGAAUAUUGGACAAUGGACGCAAGUCUGAUCCAGCCAUGCCGCGUGAAGGAUUAAGGUCCUCUGGAUUGUAAACUUCUUUUAUAAGGGACGAAAAAAGGCUUUUCUAAGUCGUCUGACGGUACCAUAUGAAUAAGCACCGGCUAACUCCGUGCCAGCAGCCGCGGUAAUACGGAGGGUGCAAGCGUUAUCCGGAUUCACUGGGUUUAAAGGGUGCGUAGGCGGGCAGGUAAGUCAGUGGUGAAAUCCUAGAGCUUAACUCUAGAACUGCCAUUGAUACUAUCUGUCUUGAAUAUUGUGGAGGUAAGCGGAAUAUGUCAUGUAGCGGUGAAAUGCUUAGAUAUGACAUAGAACACCUAUUGCGAAGGCAGCUUACUACGCAUAUAUUGACGCUGAGGCACGAAAGCGUGGGGAUCAAACAGGAUUAGAUACCCGUGUAGUCC
This 445-nucleotide ribosomal RNA is filed under the name uncultured bacterium. Its description in RNAcentral is "partial 16S ribosomal RNA". It matches the Rfam family "Bacterial small subunit ribosomal RNA", at positions 354 to 796 of the family's 1533-position model. The record is from RNAcentral.